This 1630-nucleotide long non-coding RNA is filed under the name Mus musculus (house mouse). RNAcentral describes it as "long non-coding RNA chr12:109596909-109598539". The record is from RNAcentral. Lineage: Eukaryota; Metazoa; Chordata; Mammalia; Rodentia; Muridae.
AUCCUCCAAACCUUGCAGCAGGAUGCUUUUGGGUCUGCAGUUUCUCAGAAUUAGACAUCUCCUUGUUAGCAUGACACUUAAAUUCGAUCAUGCAACCCCUCUGAUUAAAGCCUCUCACUGUUUAUUUACUGUCGGCAAUAUUAAAUCCAAACCUUUUAUAUAAACAUGUCUGACAUGUAAACUUACCAAAAAAAAAAAAAAAAAAAAAAAAAAACUCCUGGCUGAAAUUGAAAGGCCUUAGCAUAAUGUCCACGUUGGGCUUCUCAUUCCUAGAACUGGAGAUCACAGGUCCUGAGCCUGCUGUACAGACCAUCAGCUCAGAAACAUGCACAGCAUAUUACAUAAAUCAACUUAUUUCCUCUUUCAGGAAAAGUCGUCUAUUAUUAAAAUAUAAAAUUUGACUAAUUCAUCCCCAAGUUCAUCUGCGGGACAUAAAAAUCUCAGCAGGUCUCCACCUAAAAAUUGCUCAUGGUUUCAAUUUUUAAAUUUGCAGCAAUCCGAUUUUAAAGCUAAAUGAUACCCGUUCUAAAUAAAAUGCCUAUACUUAAAAUAUUACAGACAAAUUUGAUCAUGUAAGGGAUUAGAUAUUUCUGCUUUCCAGCCCUCAACCAAAAAUCUCUUGUCCUAAAAAUUUUAAUAUGCCUGGAUAUCAGAAUAAACCUUUAGUUGAGAUAAACAAUUUUCAUCUUAUGAUUUUCCUAUUUAACGCACACAUAUUCACAUACACAGACAUUUCUUUUCUUUACCAUGAAGUUCCAGUUGCUUAGCAUAAAUUAUUUUUAAACCAUGUGAUUUAAUCAACAUAAUCAAUACAAAAACCCACAGUUUCACAGGCCACAAUAAAACAUCUUUGACAAAGUCCAAAGCUAUUGUAUGGUAACAAAUGUCGAGCUUCCUGCAACAUGCAUGUACUUAUGUUCUGCUUAACGCCUCACAAAGUCUCUGCCUCACCUAUGGAGACCAAGUCUUAAAGUAUGAUCAUAAAGCCAUACGUUUCUCAGCAGACUGAGACUAUCCAACAUGCAAAGCUCAUGAUAUCACUCUCCUAAAAAUCUCAUCGUGGCUGGCAUCCAAAUUCUUCAGCAUGGCAUGAGAGGACUCCUCACACCCCUCACCACCGUGUCGAACCUGACACGCUAUGUAAAUGUCAUUCAACCUCUCAUCUGGAGGUCACCCCAUUUCUCUGCACAAAAAGAAAAAAGUCCCACUGGAUGCCCUGGUACUGAGGGGGCCAGUGGACAGUCACCCACGCAGUAAACAGCACACCAAAUCCACAUACCUUAGCAUAAAAACACGCUUCAACAUCAUCAGAUUCCUUUGAACACAAAACUCUUCACCAUUUCACUCCUUAAAAUCCUUCCUUGGCCAAACUCCAAGCAUCCCGCAGCACCCCCCGCCCCCAUGCAAAAGGAUCAGAAAUGAUAUCUCACCCCUCACUCAGGAUGCAAUAGUGCCUUCAGUUUGCACAUGGGUCAAAUCUCCUAAAUAUAUUACAGUGUCCACUCCCUUCUCUGCUGAAUUCACAGGCUGUAAGGAGUCACUCCCAGAUUUAAAACGUUGCAAAGUUUCUAUGUAGCAUGAAGCUCCAAAUUCUUAACAGACAGUACAGGAUCUUAUCAUGUCACGUACC